UACGAAGGGGGCUAGCGUUGCUCGGAAUUACUGGGCGUAAAGGGCGCGUAGGCGGACAGUUUAGUCAGAGGUGAAAGUCCAGGGCUCAACCCUGGGAUGCCGGUCGAUACUGCCGGACUAGAGUUCGGAAGAGGCGAGUGGAAUUCCCGGUGUAGCGGUGAAAUGCGCAGAUAUCGGAAAGAACACCAACGGCGAAAGCACUCUGCUGGGCCGACACUGACACUGAGAGACGAAAGCUAGGGGAGCGAAUGGG
This 253-nucleotide ribosomal RNA is filed under the name uncultured bacterium. RNAcentral describes it as "partial 16S ribosomal RNA". It matches the Rfam family "Bacterial small subunit ribosomal RNA", at positions 524 to 776 of the family's 1533-position model. The record is from RNAcentral.